UACGUAGGUGGCAAGCGUUGUCCGGAUUUACUGGGCGUAAAGAGCGCGCAGGCGGUCGUGCAAGUCGCGUGUGAAAGCUCCCGGCUCAACUGGGAGAGGUCCUUGCAUACUGGCAAACUCGAGGGAGGCAGAGGAAAGUGGAAUUCCCGGUGUAGUGGUGAUAUGCGUAGAUAUCGGGAGGAACACCAGUGGCGAAGGCGACUUCCUGGCCUGUUCUUGACGCUGAGGCGCGAAAGCUAGGGGAGCAAACGGG
This 253-nucleotide ribosomal RNA is filed under the name uncultured bacterium. RNAcentral's name for it is "partial 16S ribosomal RNA". It matches the Rfam family "Bacterial small subunit ribosomal RNA", at positions 524 to 776 of the family's 1533-position model. The record is from RNAcentral.